Anas platyrhynchos (mallard) is the source of this 3426-nucleotide long non-coding RNA. RefSeq lists it as uncharacterized. The record is from RefSeq and is a predicted model, not a curated record. Lineage: Eukaryota; Metazoa; Chordata; Aves; Anseriformes; Anatidae.
GGUUGGUUCAGCAGCCAGCCAACACAGCGAGAAGCUGUAUAAGCGAGAGAUGGGUGGUGUUGGAUAGAUGAGGGCAUGGGCAGUUCCUGUCCUGGGGGAUGUUCUCUGAGCUUUGCUCCAAUAAAGGCCUGGGGCAGCACGAGCAUUUAGGGUGGUCAGCAGCUGUGGCCGGCCAAGUCAUAGAUGAUUUGAAAACGCCGCCAUCUGGGAGGUGAGGGAGCAUCGGAGCUAGGCUUUAAAUCCCCAAGUCCCCUAAAAACUCAGUCCUCAACUGGGACUUUCAGCAGUGCUUUGGUUCUGGGUGUUAUAGCAUGGCCAUGUGCCAGUGGGAUUACCUGGAAACUCAACACUCAAUAUUUCAGUACCAGAAUCCCCAGGGAGGCAGGGGAUUGUGCAGCUCACCUGGUUAAUCUGUCUGGGAGCUUACCCAUGACUUUCCAGCCUGAAGAUUUGUAUUACAUGACAAACAUUGUAGAGCAUUUACUUCUACCUUUUUGAAAAAAUGGUUAAAAUUCUCCUAGGAGGAAAAAAAAAACCAAAAAACAAAAAAAAAAAAAACUUUGGAAAAAAAGAUGGGAGGUUAAAAUUUCUCCAUGCUUAAAGAGGCUGCUGAGUUGACUGCAGCAGCGUAGUAUGAACGGCCUAGAAAAGGUGGCACCGACAAUAGUAAGAAAGUGAGGAUAAAGGAGACGAUCUGGUGCCUCACGUGGUAUGAACUGAUUUCACUGGAACUGUCUGGAUUUGCAUCAGCUUAAAGAUCUUACUCUUAGCCAUAUGGUAUAUGUGAAACUUCAAGAAUUCUGGCUGCUGAAGAGACAGGCCAUCUCAGGACACCCACGCCUCCUUCACCAACUUCUGCUCUCUGGUAUGCACAGGUGGAGGAAAGAAACGGGCAACUAACCAGUCCCCACAUGCCAUUAAGACAAUUAAGACAUGACAUUAAGGCAUUCCUAAGACAAGUGUUACUGGCUUCAAAAACUGUCCAGAAGUUUUCCUUAUGCAGGUGUUGCUUCACUUUUCACCUGUUUUUGCGUUCGCACCAGGCUGCAGCCUGCUAAGAGCAGCUCCCAGGGUUUCGGAGCUGUUUUUUUGCAGCCGUUUUAUUGUCCCAGCCAGGUGGAAGAGAUCAUCAACAUUUUUUAAUCAGCUUUGGAAGUGGGUGUAGUUGAUCCAAGAACAAAACACAUUCACCAACUGCUAAAUCCAAUCGUCUGUGGGUGACUGAUUACUUUAAGCUUUCCUAAUUGACUGACUGUGGGAUUUCUGUGAAGGAGUUAUUCUGGCACUCAGGAAGUCCACACAACUGUUUCAAUCCUGGGAAUAACUUGCAAGUUGUGUACUAAACUGUGUUUGACUUCAAUGGUGCUGAGUGUUUGAGCAAAGUACACAGGUGGGUGUGCCAGAGCUGUGCUGGAUUAGAGUGGGUGGUUUUCUCUUGUUAGUAACAAGUUGGGUGAUGAGAGGAGUAAGUCUGUGGAACCCUCCAGAAGAGCUCGAGGAGUCUUCCCCAGUACAAAGCUCCUGUGAUACCUCCCGGCAUGGUACUACACAAUGUAUCUGCAUCCAUCUACGUGUGUAAGAACCGUCUGCACACACACACGUGCACAGCACGAGCCUGAUGCUGGCCGCCCCGCGCCAGCUGCUCUCAGCCUCGCCCUGCCCACAGCCGCUGCCGCCAUGUGUGACGCUGCACAACUGAAAAUGAACCUGCCAGGUGCUGAAGUACCAUUUCCAUGGGCAAAUCAUUAUUCUAGGGCAAAUCAUUAAUGCCAACAUUGUUUGUUUUCAACGCAGUAGACGACUCCAGCUGGGGAUGGAUGUUCAUGGUGCACAGGGAUGUCUAGGGGUACGAUACACAGCAACUGCUGGAAGGCUGCUCAGAUCCAGGUGAAGGUGUAGGUCCACUUCUGCAGUCAUCACCCGCAGCUUUUGGAAGUCUCUGGUGAAGGACCUGGGACCAGGGCUCUCAGGGGAUCAAUGGAGAACAUCUUCAGACACAGUUCUGUACCUGUGGAGGGUUGUGCCAUGAGCAGUCAGAGCUCCUGGGAGCCUUCCCUGCGAAGCACUCUUCCUGGUUCAGCCUCACUUCUCUGAUAACAAUAUGAAAUAUCUUGGAAAAUUUUUAAUUAAGAUAAUUCCUUAGCUCUUCAAAAGAACGUACGUGAGUCACACCAAUCUGUCCCUGAGUUACAAGCUGGACUGAACAGUUUGGGUUGGGCUGGCAACUGAGUGAGAGGAACAGGGUGCCCAUGUAGCUGAGAAGGAAGAGAUGGAGAUGGGGGCCCUGGGGACACCUGCAAGAUCACACGUGUGAGCCGUGAGCUAUGGUGUUGGGAUUAUAAGGGGGAAAGAAGUCACUUGUGUUCCCCGUGCCCCAGAGAAACAAAGAUACAUAGCUCUAUUGCUAAUAUAUGUAAUGAACUACAGAGACAAAAAGUUCAGGGCUUGACUUCAGAAGCACAGGGGCUAUCUUUUUGAUAAAGUAUUGUGUGAUUGCUUUUCCUGUAGUUGCCCAUCAGGAAUCCUCUGGCUGCUUUGUUUUGUCCAGGGCAACUUGUGAGAGUGUGACUUCAGUCACAGAAGAGCUUGGUGGUGCUACAUGGAUAUUCGAUACUUUGCCGGGUAGAAAAUUACACGCUCCUACAUUCCUACAUUACAUUCCUACUAUUAUCAGCUAACAUUCCUGGAAAAAAAAAAAGAGAAAGUUGAAGACCCAUCUAUGAGCUUGUUGGGGGAAUUCAUCCCCUGACAUGAAAGCUCCUUUGUGCAGCUGUGGAGCUGGAUGUCUCAUGCAGUGCUAGGAGCUUUGCCUACUGUGUUAGAGGGUGACAGGUUCUUUUAGUUGUAACUUUUAUCAUUAUUUUUAAACAGUUUCUCAGCCGCUGCACCUUCAUGUCAUCUACCCUCAGGGUAUCUUUAAGUGAACCUUCUUGUGAGCCUGCAGUCCCUUUCUAAAGCAUAGAUGUAUUUUGGGCCAUGGAUGAAAUCUCUACACAUAACAAUUACAGAUAUGUUUGGUAACGUGAUUUAGCCAGGGCCACUUUUACUUGUUCAUCGGGCUAGUGUGAUUAAGGAGACAAGACAAACACACUGUUGACAUUGCAUCUUUCUGCUACCCUGACUUCAGCAACCUUAUUUUUGCCUCUAUCUUAGGUAAACACAAAUGGUUGCCUUCAGCACUGCCUUUGAAUAAGACCACCAAUGGUCCCUGCGCAUCUAGCCUGCAGAAAUCUAGCAUCUGUGCAUCCAACCUGCAUUCUGGCUGCAGAAAUUACCCAAGGUGUAUCCCAGCUUGGGAUACCAGCCAUGGUGGCAGUGCUCCUGGAUAGCCAGCAGCUGCCUGGGAGGGCAGAAGGAAGCCGUGAGGAUGGGGCUCCUGGUGGACUCUCAGAUACUUUUCUCCUCAGGCUGGGGAUUGCUGUUUCU